Molecule: transfer RNA, 73 nt
Filed under: Spiribacter curvatus
Lineage: Bacteria; Pseudomonadati; Pseudomonadota; Gammaproteobacteria; Chromatiales; Ectothiorhodospiraceae
Rfam family: tRNA
About the family: Transfer RNA (tRNA) molecules are approximately 80 nucleotides in length. Their secondary structure includes four short double-helical elements and three loops (D, anti-codon, and T loops). Further hydrogen bonds mediate the characteristic L-shaped molecular structure. tRNAs have two regions of fundamental functional importance: the anti-codon, which is responsible for specific mRNA codon recognition, and the 3' end, to which the tRNAs corresponding amino acid is attached (by aminoacyl-tRNA synthetases). tRNAs cope with the degeneracy of the genetic code in two manners: having more than one tRNA (with a specific anti-codon) for a particular amino acid; and 'wobble' base-pairing, i.e. permitting non-standard base-pairing at the 3rd anti-codon position.
Source: Rfam by way of RNAcentral
GGGUCGUUAGCUCAGGUGGUAGAGCAUCGGACUUUUAAUCCGCUGGUCGCAGGUUCGAAUCCUGCACGACCCA